This 30-nucleotide transfer RNA is filed under the name Tectaria zeilanica. Its description in RNAcentral is "Tectaria zeylanica partial tRNA-Phe". Lineage: Eukaryota; Viridiplantae; Streptophyta; Polypodiopsida; Polypodiales; Tectariaceae. The record is from RNAcentral. RNAcentral also lists the same sequence under 18 other names.
CUCAGUCGGUAGAGCAGGGGACUGAAAAUC